Cavia porcellus (domestic guinea pig) is the source of this 4202-nucleotide long non-coding RNA. RefSeq lists it as uncharacterized. NCBI's taxonomy places the organism in Eukaryota, Metazoa, Chordata, Mammalia, Rodentia, Caviidae. The record is from RefSeq and is a predicted model, not a curated record. The transcript is spliced from 3 exons.
AGUAUAAUCAGCAAAAUUAAUAUUUUCUUCAUCAUUCUAUACAUAACAGUGAACAAGAGGUAGUUUUAAUAUUUACAAUUUCUUAUGUUGUAAUUGGGUGCAGUACAGAUUUACCUGCCAACAAGACAUCUCUGAGCAUUUCAACCUGGAACCUGCCAUGUUUUCAUCAUUAAAAUAUGGCGGAUUUAAAUAAUUCAAGGAAAAAUGAUUCUACUAAUUGUAACAAAACAACUUACAAUUAUGUUACUUUAGUAUACACUAUCUUUCCUUAGUAUAACUCAUUUAAUUCCAAGCUUAAACGAUUCCAUUUUUAAAACAGCUAUUUUUAAAUUUAAGAACUUCCUGACAACUUGAAAAUUUAAGAGUUUUCAACAUGAAAAGGAUCUUUUGUGAGUUUGAGUUCCUGUACUUAGAAAUGUAUACUUUUGUGUGUCUAUAUAAUUUGUUCAAAGUUAAAAUUUUGACUUAAGGAAAAAUUCAGGGGCUGGGUGUCUAGCUCAGCAGUGUAAGCGCCUGCCUGGCAAGCGCAAGGUUGUAAGGCCGAUUCCUGAUACAAAGACAAAAAAGAAAAAGAGGGAAAAUUCAUUUGAUAUUUGUAAACUGCUGAAUGUAUUCAAUCUCCACAUAAACUCCUUAUUUUAAAAUAGGACUGAUAAUUGGUGAAUAUGUGUUAUAGAAUUAAACUAAGCGCUAAAUGAAACCCAUGACGCCCUUAGUAUCCUUUAUGGGAUAUUCCUCAAUGCUAUCUAUCAUUAUUGUAAGUGUCAAUUUAGAUCCCAGAGUUCAGAUUCUUCGCUCUUAUAAUUCCCCCUCUUCAUUUGCUCACAGAUUGCUCUUGGAAAAAGUUUUACCUAUUAACUUGUCUGCAUAAAGUAGUGUUCACUUAAUAAAUGCAGUGACAGGCAAUCUAAAACUUGCCUUUGCCCAGCUGAACUCACUUUAGUGUUGUGAAUCUCCAAUCAACUUUGCAAACCAAAAUUUGGAUAAUCCUUAGGAUGUCCAAAGUACUUCCACUCAUGGAUUAUUAGAUUGUGCACUGUUGUUAAAUGUGACAAUUUCCACAAAGAUUUUGUCAGCAAAUGGAGGAGUUUUUGAGUCGUGAAACAAACUGACCAUUCCAGGAAGAGGAACUAAACAGACUCUCUGCUGUGCUUCUAAGUAUAAAUUAGAAUGUAAGUAUUGUACUUUCUUUUUCAAUGUAAGUCCACAAUAUCACUGUGCUCUGGAGCAUUGGUUGGACUGGAAUUAGGUAGAUCUAUUCAGCACAGAGAGUUGCUGGGAAAUGCAGCCUGCUUCUCCACAUGUGCUAAUAAUAGGCUGAAAUGAUUCGAAAGGAGAUCUUUCACUGAAUGCCAUUUCACUUCAAGUUUUAGUUAAACUGGAAGAGGUUGUUUCAUGCAUGCAUCAUUUUCUCAAAUGUAAUUUUUAAAUAAAUGUGUCCAUAUUACUUCCCCCAAAGUGAUUAUCAAACUUUUUUUUUUUUUUGUUUCUCGGUACCAGGGUUUGAACACAUGACACAGCGCGUGCAAGGCAGGCGCUUAUGCUGCUGAGAUAAAUCACCAGCCCCAUGACUGUCAGGCUUUUGAAAAUCAGCUUAGAUAUGGAUGCUUGAAACACAGUCCAGUAUUAAAUCAUUGAAUGCAUUUUUAUCAAAUCAUAUCUGGAAUGAUAUGUAUAGUCUUAAUUUUCAAAAGGAUACCUUUGGCUGGUUUUUAAGACCUCACAUACAAAUACUCCUAGACUCAUCUGUGGGGGAGUGCAGUGACUAAGGUUCCUGAAUCUGACAUGAUCCCAAGCCACUAGCCACAGGCUAUUCCCUUUCAAGUCAUUUUCUGCAGCUGCAGUGUGGAAUUAUUUAUAAAUAAUUUUUCUUCACAAAUUGAAGCACACUGCAUACAGAAUGUAUUUAUUCAGCAGUCAAACCAGGGGGGAAGAAAUGGUAGGUUAUGUUAAAGGGAAAUAAAAGGUGGAAUAAUCAUAGUUAUGGUCAGGUAAUUGCAAGGGCAAUGACCUUGCUAAGGCAGCAAUUUUCCAGGAGCACAAUAUUGUUUUUCCACCUUAUAAACUAUACAGAGUAUACUAAUAUAAAAGUAUACUAUACCAAUAUAAGCCAAUUUUUUUUUUAAAAAUGCUUGACACAGGUUUUCAAUGGUCAUGAGGCAAAACUCUAAUGAAAAAGUGAAAAUACAAUAAACUUUUUAUUGAUAAGUGGAAAAGUAGGAGAAAGGCACAGUAGAACAGAAGUAGAUUUUCAGAGUAAAGCAUCAGCAAAUGGUCUGACAAAAGAAUCCCAAACUUUAGAAUCGAUCCUGUUGUAAUAGCAAGAAAAUCUGCCAGUUUGAGGAGACAGCACUGAUACUCAGAAAUAAAAAAGCUAUUCAGUGGACAGGUGGGCUUCAUCACAAAGUGACUAUAGAGAACAAUGCCUUCCCCAGUGUAUUACUGAAAAUAAUGGCCCCAUGGGCAGGAGGUCCGCCUAGGUGCACUUGGAAAUUUUGGUAAGUCUGUUUAUUUUUUUCAAAUUAUUCAGUUUUCUUCCUUCCUUUACUGAAAUGCUACUCAGCCUAUUGGGGUAGCCCCAUACCUUGCUGUACAUAAAGGAAAUCUAUCAGAUGUAAAUUGAAGACACUUUUAUAACCUGCCAAAGAGUUUAGGCUCCUGUUUCACAAUGUAACUGUAUCUAUGAGAAAUAAAAUGUCUUCUUGGCUGUCACUUACCCUUUGACUCAAGGACUAGAUUCAACACAUGCUGAACACACAUGAAAGAAACUUACAGCUGAUAUACAUGACAGAAACAAACCAUAAAAUAUGCAGCUAGAAACAUUCAACAAAUCAAACCUUAUCUGUGUCAAGGGUUACCCAGUGGAUAUAUACUUGUGAUAAUAAAAUACAAUGUUUUACUUUGUGACAGAGUUUUACUGGACUUUUUAAAGAGUUGUUUACAGUAGCAUUACCAUAUCUAUACCCAAAUUUACAUAUGAAAUAUAUGACAAUAGAGCUUGAGACCAGAUGGUGAGAGGAAGCAAAUUGUUAACAAAAUGACUGUUCUAUAAAUUAACUACACAUAAAAAAGUCAGAUGAUUCAAAAUGUAUUACUAACUACAUUGAAAAAACAUGCAUAGGGUUGUUCAAGAAGAAAAAUUAAUAAUAUAAGAUUACCAUUACACUUGUACACAAGGAUGAGAUUAAACAUUUCAGAACUAAAAAGGAAUAGGCAAUGUUUAACCUAAGUAGGUGCAGUAACUUCCGUGUGUUUGACCAUGAAAACUCAUAUAACUCUAAUGGUAUAAACCAAUAAAUGCCCACUCUGUUUCCAUAUUCUUUAGCACUCUGUGGAAUAGACAUGCACAUUUCUUCAUGUCGGUAAACAAUGAAAAUAUCAGGAUCUCCACGUGCCUGCGGCCAUAGCAAGAGGUCAGCCAGUGGACAUCCCAGUAAGAGAUCAACCACCAAUGGGCUUAAGAUUAGCCCAAGAGGCCACAGACCAUGCUGUCCACUCUUGGUCCAAAAACCAGUGUCACCAAAUGACGGACCCCAACAUGAGUCCAGGCUGACUUCAGUUCCCAGAAUCCUUCCAAAGAGCUGCAUUCUUCUAAUAUGGGAAGCGCUCUCAGAGAACAGCAGCAUUGCCUUCUAGUGCUAAUAGACUCCGGGAGCCAUCAUAUCAGAGCACUGCCACACAGAUUGGAACUGGAUUCAGAUCCCAGGACCACUCGUGGUGUAAGAUCAGAACCUCUUUUAGAAGUGGUAGAACAGUGAUGAACACUGUUACUUCUUAUCAGUGUACCAAAGCAACAAGAUGUCAUUAAUGUAAUAGGAAAUUUAAUACUCUGUAUGUUCAUCUACUUGUGUUCUGUGGUAUCUUAAUUAUAGUCAUCGUGGAAGUCCUUGUUUAGCCUGGCACAGAAAGUAAUUGCAGACCGAAAGUAAUUGUGGUGCAUCCAGAGACACAGGAUAAUUGUUCAGUUUGUCUCUGCCUAACACUGGGGAUUUUCAUGUAUUAAUUCAGUAUCUAAUUGCCAUACUUCUUGAGGCAUGUGCGAGUGAAGGAUGCUUAGGCACGAUGCCAAGUGUAAUCUCAUGGAAAGAGAGGAUACUAUUGAGGUCAUAAUAUCUGCAAUCACUUUGGGAUAAAACCAGACUAACAGGUUCUAAAUGUAAAUGUAUGCAGACGAUUUUCAUUAAUUUAUCUCAUUGAAAAAU